GCGUCUAUAACUCAGACGGCUAGAGUGCUCGGCUCAUAACCGAGUAGUCGUAGGUUCGAAUCCUACUGGACGUG
Molecule: transfer RNA, 74 nt
Filed under: marine sediment metagenome
Description: tRNA-Met
Rfam family: tRNA
About the family: Transfer RNA (tRNA) molecules are approximately 80 nucleotides in length. Their secondary structure includes four short double-helical elements and three loops (D, anti-codon, and T loops).
Source: RNAcentral